CUUACCUAUUAAGUAUAAUACUGAAAAACUCUGAAAAUAAUUUCAAUGAGUAAUAUAACAGCAGUAUGUAUGAUACAUUUUUAUUAUUAUAUAUCUAUAACCUCAUAUUAGGUUUAUGUAUUAAGCUAGAUAUUCAAGUCUAGGAACUAAUUCAAAUAGCUUUCCGAAGUAUAACAAGUGCUAGCUUCCCAAGUGGAUCUGUUCUGUACUGUAGAUUCUAGUCCCAUUGCUAGCAAAGUAGAAAAUGCUUUGUGGUUGCCACUAGAGGGCAAAUAGCCUCCUGGACUUCUCUUUGACCAAGGAGCAUCUCUCCAGGCAGCCAAAGUUUCAGUGUCUCAUAAACCUAGUUUUAAUUCUGGCAUUGCCAACGUCUAGUCAACCCAGUCUCAGCAAGCUAAGAACUUUUUAAGUCAAGACUUAAAUGUGCUCUUUUACCAUUUUACCAAAUGGACAGAUCUUUUGCCUGAGUGCACUAACUCCUGACCUUCUUAUCCUAACCCUUUCCAAUCUAAAUCUUAAACCUCACUGCUCUGCCACUUAGGUGAGCUAAUAUCAUAGCGUUCUUAGAUCUCAGAGUGGCCCAAGACACCCUUUCCAAUCUGACCAAUCUCUGCUUACCUCUCCAAUCUCAUCUCCUACUGCUCUCUGAUACUCCCUCUGCCUUGUACCACUUUACAAUUGUUGGCAGGUCCUUAAACAUACCACAUCAUUCCAUACUCCCAUUCAGGCUAUUUCCUCUACCUGGGAUGCUGGCAUUAUCCACCACAUGUUUUUGAAGACUUGGUUCAGAUAUCACCUGUGAGAAGCCUUACAGUCUCUGCUGAUCCCUUUCUUCCCCUUCUUCUUUUUCCUAAGCAAUAGAUUUAGUGUCUCCCUUCUCUCUACUCCUCCAGCAUCUUGCACACCCCUCUGUUAACAAUGCUAACUCUACUUACUAUUGGGAUUAUGUUUGGCAGAGUAUGAACAUUCAGUCUCAACUGUUUUGUCUUUUCUUUUUUUUAUUAGAAAUUGUUAGGCAUUCUGAAAGGAUGAAAUAUGAACACCCCCUCUCCUGUCCAGGAUGCAGAUUCCAACAAUUGUGGGUUUUGAAUACUCUGCUCUUUCUGCCUUUAAAAAGGAGGUACAGGAUUUCUGCUGAUGAAAAAUUGGAUGUCAUUGCUAAUUAAAAGAAAUAUUUGGAAUCUGGAGAGACCGAGGAAGACUGGAAAAGGUUUUGAGAGGCCAAACAUUACUGCCCAGAGUCAAAGAAAGUGUGAAAGUACAGCCACUGUCACCGCCAGGAGGUGUCCCAGGAGGGGCACUGUUGAAAUGUGCCCGAGCCCUAAUGAACUAACUCUUCGCAGCUCCCAAGAGAGGACCAUCUAGUUGAAUCAGAUUCCUGCCUUUACUAGACAAAUAAUCAUGGGGUAUGAUUCUCAGCAUGAUUAAGUAUUUUAGUUUAGUUAUUUUUUUCCCAAGCACAAACACACAACUCCUCAAAGCUAUCAAAGAACAUUGAACACAAGAAGUAUCUGAGAAAUCAUCCCAGGCAAGAGACAUGGCAACUAAAGGUAAUGUGGUAUUCUGAGUGGGAUCCUAGAACAGAAAAAGAGUAUUACCUGAAAACUAAGGAAAUGUGAAUAAAGUGUAGACUUUUGUUAAUAAUAAUUAUCAGGGUUGGUUCAUUAAUUAUAAUUUUUUAUAUAUAUAUAUAUAUAUAUAUAUAUAUAUAUAUAUAUAUAUAUAUAUAUAUAUCAUAUGAAAGUAAGAUACUACCACCAGGGGAAACAGUGCAUGGGGUUUAUGGAAUUUUCUGUAUUCUCUUACCCAAUGUCUCUGUAAAUCUAAAAGUGCUCUAAACAUUAAAGUUUAUGAAGAAUAAACAAGGAGGAGAAGGAGGAGGAAAAAGAGAAGGGG
RNAcentral lists this long non-coding RNA (1896 nucleotides) under Canis lupus familiaris (dog). RNAcentral describes it as "lncRNA (ENSCAFG00000053381.1)". The record is from RNAcentral. Lineage: Eukaryota; Metazoa; Chordata; Mammalia; Carnivora; Canidae.